This 466-nucleotide ribosomal RNA is filed under the name uncultured bacterium. RNAcentral's name for it is "partial 16S ribosomal RNA". It matches the Rfam family "Bacterial small subunit ribosomal RNA", at positions 28 to 507 of the family's 1533-position model. The record is from RNAcentral.
GACGAACGCUGGCGGCGCGCCUAACACAUACAAGUCGAACGAGCGAGAGAGAGCUUGCUUUCUCGAGCGAGUGGCGAACGGGUGAGUAACGCGUGAGGAACCUGCCUCAAAGAGGGGGACAACAGUUGGAAACGACUGCUAAUACCGCAUAAGCCCACGACCCGGCAUCGGGUAGAGGGAAAAGGAGCAAUCCGCUUUGAGAUGGCCUCGCGUCCGAUUAGCUAGUUGGUGAGGUAACGGCCCACCAAGGCGACGAUCGGUAGCCGGACUGAGAGGUUGAACGGCCACAUUGGGACUGAGACACGGCCCAGACUCCUACGGGAGGCAGCAGUGGGGAAUAUUGCACAAUGGGGGAAACCCUGAUGCAGCGACGCCGCGUGGAGGAAGAAGGUCUUCGGAUUGUAAACUCCUGUUGUUGAGGAAGAUAAUGACGGUACUCAACAAGGAAGUGACGGCUAACUACGUG